UAGGGAAUCUUCGGCAAUGGACGAAAGUCUGACCGAGCAACGCCGCGUGUGUGAUGAAGGCUUUCGGUCGUAAAGCUCUGUUGUUAAAGAAGAACACGUAUGAGAGUAACUGUUCACCCCUUGACGGUAUCUAACCAGAAAGCCACGGCUAACUACGUGCCUG
RNAcentral lists this ribosomal RNA (163 nucleotides) under uncultured bacterium. Its description in RNAcentral is "partial 16S ribosomal RNA". It matches the Rfam family "Bacterial small subunit ribosomal RNA", at positions 355 to 511 of the family's 1533-position model. The record is from RNAcentral.